RNAcentral lists this unclassified non-coding RNA (252 nucleotides) under Pseudorobillarda sp. RNAcentral's name for it is "partial contains 5.8S ribosomal RNA, internal transcribed spacer 2, and large subunit ribosomal RNA". Lineage: Eukaryota; Fungi; Ascomycota; Dothideomycetes; Pleosporales. The record is from RNAcentral.
CGCACAUUGCGCCCUUUGGUAUUCCGAAGGGCACAUCUGUUCGAGCGUCAUUACACCUAAUCAAGUUUAACUUGGUAAUUGAAUGGACAUAUUUGUCUUGAAAUACAGACACAUUCAAAAGAUAUUUAGCAGUACCUAAUAGGUCUCAAGCGUAACAAAUUGAAAUCGUUUGUCAGACUCUGUUGGAACUUGCACUUCUACAUACAUUUUAAGGUUGACCUCGAAUCAGAUGGGGAUACCCGCUGAACUUAA